UACGUAGGGUGCGAGCGUUGUCCGGAAUUACUGGGCGUAAAGAGCUCGUAGGCGGUCUGUCACGUCGGGAGUGAAAACUCAGGGCUUAACCCUGAGCCUGCUUCCGAUACGGGCAGACUAGAGGUAUGCAGGGGAGAACGGAAUUCCUGGUGUAGCGGUGAAAUGCGCAGAUAUCAGGAGGAACACCGGUGGCGAAGGCGGUUCUCUGGGCAUUACCUGACGCUGAGGAGCGAAAGUGUGGGGAGCGAACAGG
RNAcentral lists this ribosomal RNA (253 nucleotides) under uncultured bacterium. RNAcentral's name for it is "partial 16S ribosomal RNA". It matches the Rfam family "Bacterial small subunit ribosomal RNA", at positions 524 to 776 of the family's 1533-position model. The record is from RNAcentral.